RNAcentral lists this ribosomal RNA (465 nucleotides) under uncultured bacterium. RNAcentral's name for it is "partial 16S ribosomal RNA". It matches the Rfam family "Bacterial small subunit ribosomal RNA", at positions 28 to 507 of the family's 1533-position model. The record is from RNAcentral.
GAUGAACGCUGGCGGCGUGCUUAACACAUGCAAGUCGAACGGAAAGGCUCCUGCUUGCAGGGGUACUCGAGUGGCGAACGGGUGAGUAACACGUGGGUGAUCUGCCCUGCACUUCGGGAUAAGCCUGGGAAACUGGGUCUAAUACCGGAUAGGACGAUGGUUUGGAUGCCAUUGUGGAAAGUUUUUCGGUGUGGGAUGAGCUCGCGGCCUAUCAGCUUGUUGGGGGGGUAAUGGCCUACCAAGGCGUCGACGGGUAGCCGGCCUGAGAGGGUGUACGGCCACAUUGGGACUGAGAUACGGCCCAGACUCCUACGGGAGGCAGCAGUGGGGAAUAUUGCACAAUGGGCGCAAGCCUGAUGCAGCGACGCCGCGUGGGGGAUGACGGCCUUCGGGUUGUAAACUCCUUUCGCUAGGGACGAAGCGCAAGUGACGGUACCUGGAGAAGAAGCACCGGCUAACUACGUG